RNAcentral lists this ribosomal RNA (793 nucleotides) under uncultured archaeon. RNAcentral describes it as "bacterial SSU rRNA". It matches the Rfam family "Archaeal small subunit ribosomal RNA", at positions 83 to 887 of the family's 1478-position model. The record is from RNAcentral.
CGGCUCAGUAACACGUGGAUAAUCUGCCCUCAGGUGAGGAAUAAUCCCGGGAAACUGGGGCUAAUACUCAUAGGAGACAGGUGCUGGAAUGCUCUGUCUCCCAAAGGUCCGCCGCGUGAGGAUGAGUCUGCGUCCGAUUAGGUUGUUGUUGGGGUAACGGCCCAACAAGCCCAUUGAUCGGUACGGGUUGUGGGAGCAAGAGCCCGGAGAUGGAUUCUGAGACAUGAAUCCAGGCCCUACGGGGCGCAGCAGGCGCGAAAACUUUACAAUGCGAGCAAUCGUGAUAAGGAAACCCUGAGUGCCUGUCAAUGCAGGCUGUUCUGGUGUCUAACACACACCAGGAGAAAGGGCGGGGCAAGACCGGUGCCAGCCGCCGCGGUAAUACCGGCUGCUCGAGUGAUAGCCGCUUUUACUGGGCUUAAAGCGUUCGUAGCUUGGUCGUUAACUCUCUGGGGAAAUCUUUUGGCUUAACCAAAAGGCGUCUCAGGGAAAGUGGCGAUCUUGGAACCGGGAGAGGUAAGACGUACUUCGGGGGUAGGAGUGAAAUCUUGUAAUCCCCGAGGGACGACCGAUGGCGAAGGCAUCUUACCAGAACGGCUUCGACAGUGAGGGACGAAAGCUGGGGGAGCAAACCGGAUUAGAUACCCGGGUAGUCCCAGCCGUAAACGAUGUGCGUUAGGUGUGUCAGCGACCACGAGUCGCUGAGGUGCCGAAGGGAAACCGUGAAACGCACCGCCUGGGAAGUACGGUCGCAAGGCUGAAACUUAAAGGAAUUGGCGGGGGAGCACAAGGG